RNAcentral lists this ribosomal RNA (2803 nucleotides) under Klebsiella pneumoniae. RNAcentral's name for it is "bacterial LSU rRNA". It matches the Rfam family "Bacterial large subunit ribosomal RNA". Lineage: Bacteria; Pseudomonadati; Pseudomonadota; Gammaproteobacteria; Enterobacterales; Enterobacteriaceae. The record is from RNAcentral.
GGGUUGUGAGGUUAAGCGACUAAGCGUACACGGUGGAUGCCCUGGCAGUCAGAGGCGAUGAAGGACGUGCUAAUCUGCGAAAAGCGUCGGUAAGGUGAUAUGAACCGUUAUAACCGGCGAUGUCCGAAUGGGGAAACCCAGUGUGAUUCGUCACACUAUCGUUAACUGAAUACAUAGGUUAACGAGGCGAACCGGGGGAACUGAAACAUCUAAGUACCCCGAGGAAAAGAAAUCAACCGAGAUUCCCCCAGUAGCGGCGAGCGAACGGGGAGCAGCCCAGAGUCUGAAUCAGCUUGUGUGUUAGUGGAACGGUCUGGAAAGUCCGACGGUACAGGGUGAUAGUCCCGUACACCAAAAUGCACAGGUUGUGAACUCGAAGAGUAGGGCGGGACACGUGGUAUCCUGUCUGAAUAUGGGGGGACCAUCCUCCAAGGCUAAAUACUCCUGACUGACCGAUAGUGAACCAGUACCGUGAGGGAAAGGCGAAAAGAACCCCGGCGAGGGGAGUGAAAAAGAACCUGAAACCGUGUACGUACAAGCAGUGGGAGCACCUUCGGGUGUGACUGCGUACCUUUUGUAUAAUGGGUCAGCGACUUAUAUUCUGUAGCAAGGUUAACCGUAUAGGGGAGCCGCAGGGAAACCGAGUCUUAACUGGGCGUUAAGUUGCAGGGUAUAGACCCGAAACCCGGUGAUCUAGCCAUGGGCAGGUUGAAGGUUGGGUAACACUAACUGGAGGACCGAACCGACUAAUGUUGAAAAAUUAGCGGAUGACUUGUGGCUGGGGGUGAAAGGCCAAUCAAACCGGGAGAUAGCUGGUUCUCCCCGAAAGCUAUUUAGGUAGCGCCUCGUGAACUCAUCUUCGGGGGUAGAGCACUGUUUCGGCUAGGGGGUCAUCCCGACUUACCAACCCGAUGCAAACUACGAAUACCGAAGAAUGUUAUCACGGGAGACACACGGCGGGUGCUAACGUCCGUCGUGAAGAGGGAAACAACCCAGACCGCCAGCUAAGGUCCCAAAGUCAUGGUUAAGUGGGAAACGAUGUGGGAAGGCACAGACAGCCAGGAUGUUGGCUUAGAAGCAGCCAUCAUUUAAAGAAAGCGUAAUAGCUCACUGGUCGAGUCGGCCUGCGCGGAAGAUGUAACGGGGCUAAACCAUGCACCGAAGCUGCGGCAGCGACACUAUGUGUUGUUGGGUAGGGGAGCGUUCUGUAAGCCUGCGAAGGUGUGCUGUGAGGCAUGCUGGAGGUAUCAGAAGUGCGAAUGCUGACAUAAGUAACGAUAAAGCGGGUGAAAAGCCCGCUCGCCGGAAGACCAAGGGUUCCUGUCCAACGUUAAUCGGGGCAGGGUGAGUCGACCCCUAAGGCGAGGCCGAAAGGCGUAGUCGAUGGGAAACAGGUUAAUAUUCCUGUACUUGGUGUUACUGCGAAGGGGGGACGGAGAAGGCUAUGUUAGCCGGGCGACGGUUGUCCCGGUUUAAGCAUGUAGGCUGGUUAUCCAGGCAAAUCCGGAUAAUCAAGGCUGAGGUGUGAUGACGAGGCACUACGGUGCUGAAGUAACAAAUGCCCUGCUUCCAGGAAAAGCCUCUAAGCAUCAGGUAACAUCAAAUCGUACCCCAAACCGACACAGGUGGUCAGGUAGAGAAUACCAAGGCGCUUGAGAGAACUCGGGUGAAGGAACUAGGCAAAAUGGUGCCGUAACUUCGGGAGAAGGCACGCUGGUGUGUAGGUGAAGUCCCUGCGGAUGGAGCUGAGACCAGUCGAAGAUACCAGCUGGCUGCAACUGUUUAUUAAAAACACAGCACUGUGCAAACACGAAAGUGGACGUAUACGGUGUGACGCCUGCCCGGUGCCGGAAGGUUAAUUGAUGGGGUUAUCCGUAAGGAGAAGCUCUUGAUCGAAGCCCCGGUAAACGGCGGCCGUAACUAUAACGGUCCUAAGGUAGCGAAAUUCCUUGUCGGGUAAGUUCCGACCUGCACGAAUGGCGUAAUGAUGGCCAGGCUGUCUCCACCCGAGACUCAGUGAAAUUGAACUCGCUGUGAAGAUGCAGUGUACCCGCGGCAAGACGGAAAGACCCCGUGAACCUUUACUAUAGCUUGACACUGAACAUUGAGCCUUGAUGUGUAGGAUAGGUGGGAGGCUUUGAAGCGUGGACGCCAGUCUGCGUGGAGCCAACCUUGAAAUACCACCCUUUAAUGUUUGAUGUUCUAACGUUGGCCCCUGACCGGGGUUGCGGACAGUGUCUGGUGGGUAGUUUGACUGGGGCGGUCUCCUCCCAAAGCGUAACGGAGGAGCACGAAGGUUAGCUAAUCCUGGUCGGACAUCAGGAGGUUAGUGCAAUGGCAUAAGCUAGCUUGACUGCGAGCGUGACGGCGCGAGCAGGUGCGAAAGCAGGUCAUAGUGAUCCGGUGGUUCUGAAUGGAAGGGCCAUCGCUCAACGGAUAAAAGGUACUCCGGGGAUAACAGGCUGAUACCGCCCAAGAGUUCAUAUCGACGGCGGUGUUUGGCACCUCGAUGUCGGCUCAUCACAUCCUGGGGCUGAAGUAGGUCCCAAGGGUAUGGCUGUUCGCCAUUUAAAGUGGUACGCGAGCUGGGUUUAGAACGUCGUGAGACAGUUCGGUCCCUAUCUGCCGUGGGCGCUGGAGAAUUGAGGGGGGCUGCUCCUAGUACGAGAGGACCGGAGUGGACGCAUCACUGGUGUUCGGGUUGUCAUGCCAAUGGCACUGCCCGGUAGCUAAAUGCGGAAGAGAUAAGUGCUGAAAGCAUCUAAGCACGAAACUUGCCCCGAGAUGAGUUCUCCCUGAGACU